This 22-nucleotide small nuclear RNA is filed under the name Arabidopsis thaliana (thale cress). RNAcentral describes it as "snRNA_03852". The record is from RNAcentral. Lineage: Eukaryota; Viridiplantae; Streptophyta; Magnoliopsida; Brassicales; Brassicaceae.
GGAAAACUAGUCACUUUGCAAU